Molecule: non-coding RNA, 633 nt
Organism: Megalobrama amblycephala (Wuchang bream)
Lineage: Eukaryota; Metazoa; Chordata; Actinopteri; Cypriniformes; Xenocyprididae
Source: the annotation of a RefSeq genome assembly
GUGACUUUCACAGAAACAGCCUCAUCAUCUCUAAAUGUCUCUUGAUGCAUGAAAACUAUUAAAUCUGAAUUAAUAAUAUAAUCAGAAAGACUCUGUACUGAUCAUCACACAUCUGAACUCAGGGUUUUUGCUCAGAGAGUCACUUUGCAUCGGCUCAUGCUUCAGCGCUCCGAGUGUUUAUAGCGUUCAGACUCAAACACUUUAUAACACACUGCUGUUUACCACGGUACAAACCCAACAAACACCAUGAAUCUCUUCAGCAGCUUCAUCUGGAUUCUGGCAGCUUUUAUUCCAGCAUCCAGAGGAAUCACUGUGACUCAGCCUGAAGCUGUGACUGUUUCUGAAGGACAAAACGCCAAAAUAGAGUGUAAAACUGAUACUGGGAUAAGUGGCUGGGGUUUAGCUUGGUAUCAGCAGAAACAUGGAGAAGCUCCUAAACUCAUCAUUUAUUCUGUAAAUGAUCGAUAUGAUGAGAGUUUCAGUCGAUUCAGUGGGAAUGGAAGAUCUGGAGGGACUGAUUUCACUCUGACCAUCAGUGGAGUCCAGACUGAAGAUGCUGGACAUUAUUACUGUCAGAGUUAUCACUACAUCAACAGUAAAAAUGUGUUCACACAGUGAUAAAGAGUCGUACAA